RNAcentral lists this ribosomal RNA (458 nucleotides) under uncultured bacterium. RNAcentral describes it as "partial 16S ribosomal RNA". It matches the Rfam family "Bacterial small subunit ribosomal RNA", at positions 338 to 795 of the family's 1533-position model. The record is from RNAcentral.
CCUACGGGUGGCAGCAGUGAGGAAUAUUGGUCAAUGGGCGAGAGCCUGAACCAGCCAAGUCGCGUGAGGGAGUACUGCCCUAUGGGUUGUAAACCUCUUUUGUCGGGGAGCAAAAGCCGGACGUGUCCGGCUGUGAGAGUACCCGAAGAAAAAGCAUCAGCUACCUCGGUGCCAGCAGCCGCGGUAUUAGGGAGGAGGCGAGCGUUAUCCGGAUUUAUUGGGUUUAAGGGGUGCGCAGGCGGAGUUUUAAUUCAGCGGUCAAAUCGUGGGGCUCAACCCCAUCCAGCCGUUGAAACUGGGGCUCUAGAGUGUGCGAGAGAUAUGCAGAAUGCGAGGUGUAGCGGUGAAAUGCAUAGAUAUGACGCAGAACCCCGAUUGCGAAGGCAGCAUACCGGUGCACAACUGACGCUCAGGCACGAAAGCGUGGGUAUCGAACAGGAUUAGAUACCCUAGUAGUC